Molecule: unclassified non-coding RNA, 352 nt
Filed under: soil metagenome
Description: partial contains 5.8S ribosomal RNA, internal transcribed spacer 2, and large subunit ribosomal RNA
Rfam family: 5.8S ribosomal RNA (bases 1-120)
Source: RNAcentral
GAUGAAGAACGUAGUGAAAUGCGAUAAGUAAUGUGAAUUGCAGAAUUCAGUGAAUCAUCGAAUCUUUGAACGCACAUUGCGCCCGCCAGUAUUCUGGCGGGCAUGCCUGUUCGAGCGUCAUUACAACCCUCAGGCCCCCGGGCCUGGCGUUGGGGAUCGGCGGAAGCCCCCUGCGGGCACAACGCCGUCCCCCAAAUACAGUGGCGGUCCCGCCGCAGCUUCCAUUGCGUAGUAGCUAACACCUCGCAACUGGAGAGCGGCGCGGCCACGCCGUAAAACACCCAACUUCUGAAUGUUGACCUCGAAUCAGGUAGGAAUACCCGCUGAACUUAAGCAUAUCAAAAGCGGAGGA